RNAcentral lists this long non-coding RNA (1571 nucleotides) under Anas platyrhynchos platyrhynchos (common mallard). RNAcentral's name for it is "lncRNA (ENSAPLG00000028479.1)". Lineage: Eukaryota; Metazoa; Chordata; Aves; Anseriformes; Anatidae. The record is from RNAcentral.
ACCCCCCAGGCCCCUAAUUUGCAUAUGCAAAUGAGCCCCGGGGGCCGGGGCCGCUCACCCGGCGCCGCCGCCGCUCUCCGCAGCGACCCGGAAGUGAACCCGGGGCCGACUUCCGGUUUCCGCUGAGAGAGGGCGGAAGUGACGCCAACUCCGGGCGGAAGUGCCUCCCGGAACGGCGUCGCGGUGCUGGCAGCUCUUAAAGGCGCCGCGUCCCGAAUUUUUAGCCCCGCCCCCUCCCCCUGAGACCCCCCCCAAACCCCUCAAAAACGCCGAAAUCGCCCCAAAAAUCCCCCCUCCCCCCCCCCAACCCCUAAGAAAAAGGCGGGUUCCUCGUGGGCCGUUUUUGGCUGUUUUUCACCCAAAAAAGAACCCGGGGGGGGAGAGGGGGGAGGGGGCGGGGUCAGGGGAGGGGGCGGAGUCUGUUAAAUAAGCGGGGGCGGGGCCAGGCGGCUGUCAAUCAAAUGGGGCUGUCAAUCAAACGGGGCUGUCAAUCAACGAGGCUGUCAAUCAACCCGGGCUGUCAAUCAAGUGGAGCUGUCAAUCAAACGGGGCUGUCAAUCAAAUUGAGCUGUCAAUCACCGGCUGCUGUCAAUCAGGGGCUGUUAUUUGAUGAGCUGUCAAUCAAACGGAGCUGUCAAUCAAACGGAGCUGUCAAUCACGCGCUGCCUGGAGUGUCGAUCAAGUGGAGGUGUCAAUCAACCCGGGCUGUCAAUCAAAUGGAGCUGUCAAUCAAAUGGAGCUCUCAAUCAGGUGGAGCUGUCAAUCAGCCGGGUCUGUCAAUCAUCCGAGCCGGUGUUAGGGGUCAAUCCGAGCUGUCAAUCACAGGCGUCAGUCGGCCAAUCAGAGGGUGAGGUGGGGCUGUCAAUCAAAGGGGAGAGCUGUCAGUCACGGGGAGCUGUCAAUCAAAGUAAACUGUCUAUCAAGAGGGCUGUCAAUCACAGCUGUCAAUCAAACUGAGCUGUCAAUCAAAGGGAUACCAAUCAAAUGGAGCUGUCAAUCAAACAUGACUUGUCAAAAGGAGCUGUCAAUCAAAUAGAGAGGCCCAAUAGAGCUGUCAAUCAAUUCUAUCAAUCAAAUUGAGCUGUCAAUCAAACCUAUCCCUAGAACUGAGCUGUCAUUCAAAUGGAUAUCAAUCAAAUUGAGCUGUCAAUCAAAGAGCUAUUGAUCAAAUGGAGCUGUCAAUCAAAUAUAUCAAUCAAAUUGAACGGUCAAUCAAACAUAGAUCAUCAAAUUGAGCUGUCAAUCAAACAGCCAUCACUCCAAGGGGGCUGUCAAUCAAUUCUAUCCACCAGAUUGAGCUGUCAAUCAAACCUAUUCAUCAAAUUGAGCUGUCAAUCAAAGGGAUAUCAAUCAAAUUGAGCUGUCAAUCAAAGAGCUAUCAAUCAAACGGAGCUGUCAAUCAAUUCUAUCCUUCAAAUUGAGCUGUCAAUCAAACACACGGCAUCAAAUUGAUCUGUCAAUCAAGCAGCCAUCACUCCAAUGGGGCUGUCAAUCAAUCCUAUCCAUCAAAUCGAGCUGUCAAUCAAAGCUAUUCAUCAAAUUAUGCUGUCAAUCAAAGGGAUAUCAAUCAA